UACGAAGGGUGCAAGCGUUACUCGGAAUUACUGGGCGUAAAGGGUGCGUAGGUGGUCGUUUAAGUCCGUUGUGAAAUCCCUGGGCUCAACCUGGGAAUGGCAGUGGAUACUGGACGGCUAGAAUGCGGUAGAGGGUAGUGGAAUUCCACGUGUAGCGGUGAAAUGCGUAGAGAUGUGGAGGAACACCAGUGGCGAAGGCGACUUUCUGGGCUGUAACUGACGCUGAGGCGCGAAAGCGUGGGGAGCAAACAGG
This 253-nucleotide ribosomal RNA is filed under the name uncultured bacterium. Its description in RNAcentral is "partial 16S ribosomal RNA". It matches the Rfam family "Bacterial small subunit ribosomal RNA", at positions 524 to 776 of the family's 1533-position model. The record is from RNAcentral.